UACAGAGGUCUCGAGCGUUAGGCGGAAUCACUGGGCUUAAAGCGUGUGUAGGCGGAUCGGUAAGUACCUUGUGAAAUCCCACAGCUUAACUGUGGAACUGCUUGGUAUACUGCCAGUCUUGAGCCAGCUAGGGGCUACCGGAACAAAUGGUGGAGCGGUGAAAUGCGUAGAUAUCGUAAGGAAGACCAGUGGCGAAGGCGAGUCUCUGGACAGUUACUGACACUGAGGCACGAAGGCUAGGGGAGCAAACGGG
Molecule: ribosomal RNA, 253 nt
Filed under: uncultured bacterium
Lineage: Bacteria
Description: partial 16S ribosomal RNA
Rfam family: Bacterial small subunit ribosomal RNA
Source: RNAcentral